RNAcentral lists this ribosomal RNA (272 nucleotides) under unidentified marine bacterioplankton. Its description in RNAcentral is "partial 16S ribosomal RNA". It matches the Rfam family "Bacterial small subunit ribosomal RNA", at positions 80 to 339 of the family's 1533-position model. The record is from RNAcentral.
UUCGGGAUGAGUAGAGCGGCGCACGGGUGAGUAACGCGUAAGUAAUCUAUCCCUGUAUCUGGAAUAACUAUGGGAAACUGUGGCUAAUACCGGAUACGUUUAUCUCUUUGCGAAUUGAUAAGAAAGGUGGCCUCUUCUUGAAAGCUACUGUACGGGGAGGAGCUUGCGUACCAUUAGCUUGUUGGUGGGGUAAUGGCCUACCAAGGCAACGAUGGUUAGCGGGUCUGAGAGGAUGAUCAGCCACACUGGGACUGAGACACGGCCCAGACUCC